RNAcentral lists this ribosomal RNA (484 nucleotides) under uncultured bacterium. RNAcentral's name for it is "bacterial SSU rRNA". It matches the Rfam family "Bacterial small subunit ribosomal RNA", at positions 30 to 518 of the family's 1533-position model. The record is from RNAcentral.
UGAACGCUGGCGGCGUGCUUAACACAUGCAAGUCGAACGGGACUUGAGAAUUGAAGUACUCGUAUGGAUUUCUAAGUUAGUGGCGGACGGGUGAGUAACGCGUGGGCAACCUGCCGUAUGCAGGGGGACAACAGUUGGAAACGACUGCUAAUACCGCAUAAGCGCACAGCAUCGCAUGGUGCAGUGUGAAAAGAUUUAUCGGCAUACGAUGGGCCCGCGUUGGAUUAGGUAGUUGGCGGAGUAACGGCCCACCAAGCCAUCGAUCCAUAGCCGACCUGAGAGGGUGAUCGGCCACAUUGGGACUGAGACACGGCCCAAACUCCUACGGGAGGCAGCAGUGGGGAAUAUUGCACAAUGGGGGAAACCCUGAUGCAGCGACGCCGCGUGAGUGAAGAAGUAUUUCGGUAUGUAAAGCUCUAUCAGCAGGGAAGAAAAUGACGGUACCUGACUAAGAAGCCCCGGCUAACUACGUGCCAGCCGCAGC